Molecule: long non-coding RNA, 406 nt
Filed under: Salvia miltiorrhiza (redroot sage)
Lineage: Eukaryota; Viridiplantae; Streptophyta; Magnoliopsida; Lamiales; Lamiaceae
Description: long non-coding RNA (SMIL_LNC007860)
Source: RNAcentral
AAUAACAAGCCUUCUACCAGAAACAAGCCUUUGCGGCUUCACCGCCAUCUAGGGUUUUCGGUUUCUCAAUUCCGACCAAAUCAAAAAUUCGAAUUUCCCAAUUUGCUUCAUACAUUGAAGAAGAAUGGGCGGAAAGUGUCCGCACAGGAGUGUGAAGAAGCGUCGCUACUCUCAUAAAUCAUUUAGGCGCAGCAAAUUUCUUAUCAAGGAUAUCCUUUUAUUGAUAAUAUCCGAGUAAUUUCUGUUUUUGCUAAAAAAAUUCUGUUAAAAAAUAUGAUUUUCUUGACUUUUGAGGGUUCACGCGACGACGCCGUUUACGAUGAGCUUCAGAAAGCGGAGGGACAGAGCAAGCCCUUGCCCGUGGAUGAAGAUCUUCCAGGAAUGGGCCAGUACUAUUGUUUUCACU